RNAcentral lists this ribosomal RNA (435 nucleotides) under uncultured bacterium. RNAcentral's name for it is "partial 16S ribosomal RNA". It matches the Rfam family "Bacterial small subunit ribosomal RNA", at positions 28 to 507 of the family's 1533-position model. The record is from RNAcentral.
GAUGAACGCUGGCGGUAUGCUUAACACAUGCAAGUCGAACGGACUCUUCGGAGUUAGUGGCGGACGGGUGAGUAACGCGUUAGAACCUGGCCUUGGGUUCGGGACAACCACUGGAAACGGUGGCUAAUACCGGAUGUACCGCGUGGUAAAAUAGAAAUUGCUUGAAGAUGAGCUCGGGUCUGAUUAGCUAGUUAGUGAGGUAAAUGCUCACCACGGCAUCGAUCAGUAGCUGGUCUGAGAGGAUGAGCAGCCACACUGGGACUGAGACACGGCCCAGCAUCCUACGGGAGGGAGCAGUGGUGAAUAGUCCGAAAUGGGCGAAAGGCUGACGGAGAAAUACCGUGUGAGGGAAGAAGGCUCUUGUGUUGUAAACCUCUUUUCUUAGGGAAGAACAAAAUGACGGUACCUUAUGAAUAAGCAUCGGCUAACUCCGUG